GUAAGGUAUCAACAACAACCAUUCAUUCACCAACCACCUGCCAAAGAUAGUUCCCAAAAUCCAAAUCAUUUUAUUCAUCCACCACCACCACCAAACUAUUAUAGUCCUCAAAUUAGUAGCAAUGGUGAAAAAUUACCUGAAACACAAUUUGAAUAUGUGCCUGAUGAGCUUGAUUAGUCUGAUUAGCCUACAUUCCCCGCUGAAGGAGAUAACCAUUCCCCCAAAAAACAACGCUUGAAAUGGUGCGAGAACGACGAUAUAAUUCUUCUCCAGACAUGGCUCAACAUUUCAAAUGAUUCAGUAACGGGAACUGAUCAAAAGGAAGAAACUUUUUGGCGGAGGAUUGAACAUCAAUACAACAAGUACCGCAAAAUAGGUUCUUCUGAGAAGAAAUGGGCUCAAUUGAAGGCUCACUUUCAUACAUUGAGUAAAGCAGUCUCAACUUUUGUCGGUUGCUACAAGAAAGUUACUAACCCUCCGAAGAGCGGCUAAACCACGAGAAAUGGUUGAGACUAAAACAUUCAAGUUUGAGCAUGCAUGGCGGGUGUUGAAAGAUGAACCCAAGUGGAAUGGAGAAACAAUGUCAAUCUAUUCUAAGCAGUCUCGACAUUCUACUGAUGGGGUGCACACAUCAAUCGAUGGUUCAGAACAUGAGGCAGUACAAAUAUUUUCCCACCCACUGGGGCAUAAAGAUACAAAACGAAAGGUCAAGGCGGCUACAACGACUUCCAACAAUGAAGAAAGGAUGACAGAGGCAAAAUCUCUUGUCAAGGAAAAAACGGAAAGGAUGGCAAGACUUGAGCGUUUAAAGAAGAAUGACCAGCUGAAGAUGAUAAAUGAUAUUCUUCUCCAAGAUACAUCAACAUGAAAGAUGAACAAUUAGCAGAUUUUAGAACAUAUGUGUGUACACUAGGCGCCAAUUAGAGGACUUGUUUAAGGAAUAAUUGUUAUAGUCCUAUUUAUUGUUUUGUUUUAGUCAAUACUAUAAUGUCAUAUUUUUAAUUCUUAUUGUAUUUUAGCCAAUAUUAUAAUGUAUGUUUUUUAUUCUUUAAUUAGUAUUAUU
RNAcentral lists this long non-coding RNA (1063 nucleotides) under Lotus japonicus. Its description in RNAcentral is "long non-coding RNA (LJAP_LNC001852)". The record is from RNAcentral. Lineage: Eukaryota; Viridiplantae; Streptophyta; Magnoliopsida; Fabales; Fabaceae.